Polistes canadensis is the source of this 776-nucleotide long non-coding RNA. RefSeq lists it as uncharacterized. Lineage: Eukaryota; Metazoa; Arthropoda; Insecta; Hymenoptera; Vespidae. The transcript has 3 exons. The record is from RefSeq and is a predicted model, not a curated record.
GCGGCUACGCGACGUAUGUUGAUGGGUUUGGUCGAGGUUAUCGACCACACGAAUAGUAUAUACAUACACAUACAUGUUAUAGAAGAAUAGAAUAACGGAGCUCAAAAUGAAACCGAUUUUCAAAGGGGGAACGUUCUUUAAGUCAAAACUAUGGCGUAGAAGUAAAGUGAAGAUGGAAGCUAAGCUAAUAAGAGAGUUCACAUCGGAGAACCACUGAUCCACUUUGCAGGGUGCAACGCUCCGAGGUUCGCGAGUACUAUUGCAUCGCAAGAGGAAUGGCAUCCCAACGGUAACCUUCGAAUGGACACCUCGUGACGGAAUACGCAACAGUGGAGAGAUAAAUCUAAGCAUCUAGCGAAAUAUAUUUGCUCGCAAGUUUGAAUGAGAAUAAUUUUUCAUUAAAGAUUUGGCCAAUCGAACCAAAUCAGAAAUAAAACGAGUUCGAUUGGAUUGAAAAACGGAGAAGAACUGUUGUCGAAUGAAUAUAAUACUUAUCGAUUCGAUUACUAGUAAUAAUUAAGAUCUAUUAAAUAUAGUAGUAUCCAUUUAAAGAUUAUUGGAGAAAAAUAAAAUGAAAAUUUGAAGAGUGAGAUCACAAAGCCAAACCAGGACAAAUUUUCGCGGUCACUGACCUAUCCCCACCCCAAAGUGUGUUGAUUGCACGUACCGAGUAGAUUCAUCGAUGUACUAUCAUUGGCAGAAUAACGAGAAGCCAUCUGCACCACCACUACCACUACAACCCCCCAACGGUUACAACCCACCGCAGAGUUAGCAGA